CACCACUCAAGCCUGGCUUGGUGUUGGGCGACGUCCCCUUUGGGGACGCGUCUCGAAACGCUCGGCGGCGUGGCACCGGCUUUAAGCGUAGCAGAAUCUUUCGCUUUGAAAGUCGGGGCCCCGUCUGCCGGAAGACCUACUCGCAA
RNAcentral lists this unclassified non-coding RNA (146 nucleotides) under uncultured Cenococcum. RNAcentral describes it as "sequence contains ITS2". Lineage: Eukaryota; Fungi; Ascomycota; Dothideomycetes; Gloniales; Gloniaceae. The record is from RNAcentral.